Molecule: non-coding RNA, 114 nt
Organism: Trichobilharzia regenti
Lineage: Eukaryota; Metazoa; Platyhelminthes; Trematoda; Strigeidida; Schistosomatidae
Source: Rfam
UUUAGAUACGGUGAUAUGGUUCCAGAAACGAUAGUUGGAAAAAUUGUUGGCGGUAUGUGUUCACUUUCUGGAGUACUUGUGAUUGCCUUACCAGUUCCUGUCAUUGUAUCAAAC